This 497-nucleotide ribosomal RNA is filed under the name uncultured bacterium. Its description in RNAcentral is "partial 16S ribosomal RNA". It matches the Rfam family "Bacterial small subunit ribosomal RNA", at positions 28 to 507 of the family's 1533-position model. The record is from RNAcentral.
GAUGAACGCUGGCGGCGUGCCUAAUACAUGCAAGUCGAGCGAACAGAUGAGGAUCUUGCUCCUUUGACGUUAGCGGCGGACGUGUGAGUAACACGUGUAUAACCUACCUAUAAGACUGGUAUAACUUCGGGAAACCGGAGCUUAUCCCGGAUAAUAUCUUGAUCCGCAUGGUUCAAUAGUGAAAGACGGUUGUGCUGUCACUUAUAGCUGGAUACGCGCCUCAUUAGCUAGUUGUGAAGGUAACGGCUUACCACGGCAACGAUGCGUAGCCGACGGGAGGGGCGGGUAGCCCACACUGGAGCGGGGACGCGGACAAGACGACUGAGGGAGGCCGCAGAAGGGAACGUGACGCAAUGGGGGAGAGCCUGACGGAGCGACGGCGCGUGAGUGACAGCGGUCCUGCGAUCGUAAAAAUGUGUUAUGAGGGAUGAACAAAUGUGGAAGUAGACAAGCCGGGAGUGACGGUACCGGAUAAGAAAGCAACGGCUAACUACGUG